Molecule: non-coding RNA, 30 nt
Filed under: Rattus norvegicus (Norway rat)
Lineage: Eukaryota; Metazoa; Chordata; Mammalia; Rodentia; Muridae
Source: RNAcentral
UGAAAUGCUAUCUUAAUCAGUUGUGACGAG